RNAcentral lists this transfer RNA (16 nucleotides) under Xiphophorus variatus (variable platyfish). RNAcentral describes it as "partial tRNA". The record is from RNAcentral. Lineage: Eukaryota; Metazoa; Chordata; Actinopteri; Cyprinodontiformes; Poeciliidae.
AUUAAACUAUUCUUUG